Hibiscus syriacus is the source of this 150-nucleotide long non-coding RNA. RefSeq lists it as uncharacterized. NCBI's taxonomy places the organism in Eukaryota, Viridiplantae, Streptophyta, Magnoliopsida, Malvales, Malvaceae. The record is from RefSeq and is a predicted model, not a curated record. The transcript is spliced from 3 exons.
UCUCCAAACAACUGAUUAUACCCUUCAUCGAAUGUAAGAAUCGGGAGUCCCUGUUCAGACCCAGAAGCAAGAACAGAAACCAGAGCCAAAACCAAAAACAAAGAACAACCCAGAUAAGUUAACUUCAUCCCCAUCACCAAGUUUGUGUUC